UAGGGAAUCUUCGGCAAUGGACGGAAGUCUGACCGAGCAACGCCGCGUGAGUGAAGAAGGUUUUCGGAUCGUAAAGCUCUGUUGUAAGAGAAGAACGAGUGUGAGAGUGGAAAGUUCACACUGUGACGGUAUCUUACCAGAAAGGGACGGCUAACUACGUGCCAGCAGCCGCGGUAAUACGUAGGUCCCGAGCGUUGUCCGGAUUUAUUGGGCGUAAAGCGAGCGCAGGCGGUUAGAUAAGUCUGAAGUUAAAGGCUGUGGCUUAACCAUAGUACGCUUUGGAAACUGUUUAACUUGAGUGCAAGAGGGGAGAGUGGAAUUCCAUGUGUAGCGGUGAAAUGCGUAGAUAUAUGGAGGAACACCGGUGGCGAAAGCGGCUCUCUGGCUUGUAACUGACACUGAGGCUCGAAAGCGUGGGGAGCAAACAGGAUUAGAUACCCUGGUAGUCCACGCCGUAAACGAUGAGUGCUAGGUGUUAGACCCUUUCCGGGGUUUAGUGCCGCAGCUAACGCGUUAAGUCGACCGCCUGGGGAGUACGGCCGCAAGGUUA
This 550-nucleotide ribosomal RNA is filed under the name uncultured bacterium. RNAcentral describes it as "bacterial SSU rRNA". It matches the Rfam family "Bacterial small subunit ribosomal RNA", at positions 355 to 896 of the family's 1533-position model. The record is from RNAcentral.